ACCUUCCAGAUUCCUUAUCCCCCAAACCUAAACACUGGUCUGAGUGGCUAGGAAAGGAGAAAACAUUAAACAGAAACUAACAACUUCAUUUGUGACACACAGCUAGUUUCAAGCAAAC
This 118-nucleotide small nucleolar RNA is filed under the name Echinops telfairi (small Madagascar hedgehog). RNAcentral's name for it is "Small nucleolar RNA SNORA61 (ENSETEG00000026438.1)". Lineage: Eukaryota; Metazoa; Chordata; Mammalia; Afrosoricida; Tenrecidae. The record is from RNAcentral.